Nothobranchius furzeri (turquoise killifish) is the source of this 688-nucleotide non-coding RNA. The record is from RefSeq and is a predicted model, not a curated record. Lineage: Eukaryota; Metazoa; Chordata; Actinopteri; Cyprinodontiformes; Nothobranchiidae.
GCUGUGUCUCAAUUCAGGGUCUGCAUCCUACGUCGGCCGGAUUCGUCGGCCGGUUACGUCACAGCGCCGCGACUAGGCCUGUCCCAAUUCGAAGACUCCUUCAAAUGCGGUCGACGAAUGCGGCCUUCUUUUCGCCUAAAUGAAGGAUGGGUCCGGUGUAUCCUUCAACAGGUAGCAUUUCCCAAGAUGCCUUGCGGGCCGGCCGGCAGAAAUACUUAAAAACAAUGGAGGACAGUGAAGCGGGAGCUGUCGGAGAGGAUUGCGCAUAUAAAUGAACAAAAGAGAAAACCAGGGAAUUUAUUAAGCUUAGGGCGGAGAUGGACCACAUGAUCACCGGAGCAAAGUUUUCGGCGGCUGUGGCAUGGAGAUACAAUAACAUCUCAUAUUUUACAUAACUCGUUUGAGUUUAUUUUUUUCUGCGAAAACAUGAAAGGAAUAACCCGUUGUCCUCUUUUCUCUAUCUUUUCUCUAUCUGUUUUUUCUUACAUGUUUGUAAUGGGCAUCCAGGGGAAGGUGCCAGCGAUGACCAGCUUCUGGAGCUGAUCAGGGAGGACAUGAGGCUGCAGAGGGCACAGGAGAGAAGGAAGAACUUUGACAGCUUUUUACUUUGCUAGAAAAAAAAUGGUUAAGGAAGAUUAAACAUGUACAUAUAAAAGAAAUAUCUAAAUAAAAUCAGUUCUGCAUUAAA